UGCGUUUCCUGUAUGUUGUGCAACUCGUGGUUUCAGUGUAGUGUUGAUCCGUGUACUAUUGUUUACCCAGAGUAUAUCAUUAACGAUCUCACCGCUAGGAAUGUUCAGACUCUCCAACCCUGGGUUUGUGCUGUUUCAUCUCUGACGGGGCAUGUGUCCCAAAUGGCACCCUUAUUAUUAUUUGUAGUCUACUACCGUUGACCUGGGUCCACACCCUAUUAUAUACACACUGACCCUUAUCUCGUGGACUAUGAGCCCUGGUCAAUAGUCGUCAAGUGUAAAAGGAAUAGGGUGAGAGAGACACUGUUUUAGACUGUCUCUGGACCCGGUUGAGAGACACUGUUUUAGACUGUCUCUGGACCCGGUUGAGAGACACUGUUUUAGACUGUCUCUGGACCCGGUUGAGAGACACUGUUUUAGACUGUCUCUGGACCCGGUUGAGAGACACUGUUUUAGACUGUCUCUGGACCCGGUUUAGAGACACUGUUUUAGACUGUACCUGGUUUAGAGACACUUUCUGGACCUGGUUUAGAGACACUGUUUUAGACUGUCUCUGGACCUGGUUUAGAGACACUGUUUCAGACUGUAUCUGGACCUGGUUUAGAGACACUGUUUUAGACUGUAUCUGGACCAGGUUUAGAGACACUGUUUUAGACUGUAUCUGGACCAGGUUUAGAGACACUGUUUUAGACUGUAUCUGGACCCGGUUUAGAGACGUUGUUUCAGACUGUAUCUGGACCCGGUUUAGAGACGUUGUUUCAGACUGUCUCUGGACACUUUUGACAUUGCAGCCGACUGUCGAGACUGACCAAUCUACAAAUCACCUUGGAUCACAAAUAACUACUCAAUAUUAUUUGUAGAUCAGUCAGUCGGUCAGAAUUGACCCAUGAUACAUUGCGGUUUGGAUCGAACACAGCCAUAGUUUCUAUGCUGAUGUGUUCCGUAGACUUGGACAGACACACUGCCUCAAAGGGGCUGAAUUCACCGGCCUGGCUCAUGGCUGCUCUCCUACACUCUCUCUCUAGAGACAGGCACCCCUCACUGGCAGUCUGGCUGCUGUGUCCCCAUUGGUCCAGAUGUGAGAGCAGAGACCAGCAGUGUCUCCUCUAACCCUCAGGGCCCGUCGUCAUGGAAAUGGUGUUGUCGUUACCAAGGCCGUCGUGGGGGUUGUGGUCUGUGUUAGUCCCAGGCCUGGCCCUACUGCUGUGCCUGGCCCUGGUCCUGAUGGGCUGUGUGAUCAGGAAGAAGAGAAGGAUGGAGGGAAUGUAUCGGCCCAGUGCGGAGGAGAGCAAACAGACCGGACCACGGGGGGCUGAGAGACCAGGCCUGCCCCUGCCCAAGGAGGAGAGACUCAUCUGAUACAUGCACUUUAGCCUGGACGCUACACACACUCUCUUUUCCUUCUCUCUCUCUCUCACUACCAUUGCCUCACUGUCCUCUACCCUGUACAUGAAGCCAGAACGGGUUAUUAGUGGUUAUGUGUUGUGUAAAGUUAUCUGUGGAUGGAGUGUCUUGUUAAAUAUGCCUGAACAUGCCUGGUGGAUGUGCCAUGUUCUCUCCAGUUUCUCCAACUGUGCUGAUGUUGACAUCAGUGUGUCAACAGGUGAAUGCUGAAUGCCCUGUCAGGGGUGUGUUGUUCACCUGUAGGUGGACUAGUUGUUGACAUGAUUACCUGUAGGUGGACUAGUUGUUGAUCAUACAGAGAAAAGGGAAUUUUAAAAGUUCCUCUAUAUGCAAAAUGUCUCUUUAUUAUGGCAGUUAUACUGUUACAUGUGAACCAACUAUGAUUUAGGUGUAUCCCGUGUAUAAAGCAUUAGUGUGUGUGUGUGUGUGUGUGUGUUUUAUAUCUUGAAAAUGAAGAGAAGAAUGGUAAGACACUAUGAAUGAUUUCUAAUGCACUUCUGAUGAUAUUAACCAUGUGAAAACAAUAAAACUCCUCUCAAAAAGUAUAAA
Long non-coding RNA from Oncorhynchus tshawytscha (Chinook salmon), 1953 nucleotides. The record is from Ensembl. NCBI's taxonomy places the organism in Eukaryota, Metazoa, Chordata, Actinopteri, Salmoniformes, Salmonidae.